ACACACACACACAGAGAGAGAGAGAGAGAGAGACUGGUGAACAUCAUUUACAGCACUGAUGAGCGGCUCUGGCCUGUUUAUUAUUUUUAUUGUUUUAUUAAUUAUGUUCAGCUUUUCUCUAGUUAAUAUUAGGUUGAGUUUGACUUUCUGAGCGUCAUUUCCUGACAUGGAUUGCUCAUUAUUUAUCAGAGAUGAUCUUCAUGUAGUCGAGCUGUAGGUGUCUGCUGGUUUCUGACUUCCUGUUCAUCAGUGUGUCUCUGUUCAGUCGUCUUCAGGCGCUCAGGUCUCAACCAACUCCUCGUCCUUUACCCUUCUGACACAAACCAGACGAGAAGAGAAGAGAAGAGAAGAGAGAGAAGAGAAGAGAAGAGAAGAGAAGAGAAGAGAGAGAGCGAAGGAUUAAUAAUAAUAAAACUAAUACCAGCAGAUUGAGAGGAGAAAGAGAUGUCCAGACGAGUGUUUGUGUUCUUCUGUCUGCUGACGGCUGUGAGAUCAGAAGAUGGUUCAGAGACAACAGAAACAACAGAAAUCACGAUUGACAAGACAAACAUGAAUCUGACAUGUGCUGGUGGUACAUUUUAUGAGGAUCAAAGUACAAUAAAGAUGGAUUAUGGAUCGUCUGGACUCUACACAUGUACAUCAGCUAAGUGUAGUUUCGAAAGCAACUGUCCCACUGCCCGAGUGAAGAUCCUGAAUGCUGAGAAUCUGGUGCAGCUGGACAUGGGGGCUCUGGUCUCGGUUCUGGUGGCUAAUAUCGUAAUGACGGUUCUGAUCGGAUGGGUGUUUUACAGCAUCUGCGCUCAGCCCAGACCCAGAGGCAGUUAUCAGGGGAAUAAAGGUGUGUGAUGUUCUCGAUCAGGUCAAGAUCAGCGGUGACUCAGGAGUCAGUCGUUCAUCUGUGUUUGUGUCUUCAGCCUCAAGACAGAAUCAAUCUGAUCGAGAAUCCCAGCCGCUCGGCAGGAGACACGUACCAGCGUCUUGAACAUGCGUUCGGAUGAGUACAAGCGCUCUACAGCCGCAGCGCAGACAGAAGAACAAGCAGUCCGUCUAACCAGCGCUUCAUCUUCAUUCCUCCGUCACUUCUUCUGAUUCAUGAUCCUGGAAAUGUAGACGUUCUUCACUUGAUGCUUUAGAUACAUGAAUCUGUCUUUACUAUUAGCUGUGCUGUGCUCAUUAAGACUCUUUAUAAUAAAUUCUUUAAAGAA
Long non-coding RNA from Carassius auratus (goldfish), 1205 nucleotides. RefSeq lists it as uncharacterized. NCBI's taxonomy places the organism in Eukaryota, Metazoa, Chordata, Actinopteri, Cypriniformes, Cyprinidae. The record is from RefSeq and is a predicted model, not a curated record. The transcript has 5 exons.